GACGCAGACGGACACGAAUGUUAAAAUCAGAGACGGCUGGGAGGCUUUUUUCUAAUUCCGGGUUUUGUUUUUUUUUUUAAAGUUCUGAUCAGAAACUCGUCGUGUACCAAUUUUCACAUCAACAUCAUCUACAAAAACAGUGGAAAAGCAAAGCCGAAUCACGUGUUUGUGUGUCUACCUGAGGUCUUUGAUGGACAGCGUUCCUCUGAAGUCCCUCAGGAUCUCCAGCAGGACCCAGGACCAGUAACUUCGGUAGCUAAGCUUCCCCAGAUCAGAGAGCGGCUUCUCCGGAGACCCCACUGUGUUCUCCAGCUUAGACAGCUCAUA
Oreochromis niloticus (Nile tilapia) is the source of this 327-nucleotide long non-coding RNA. RefSeq lists it as uncharacterized. NCBI's taxonomy places the organism in Eukaryota, Metazoa, Chordata, Actinopteri, Cichliformes, Cichlidae. The transcript has 2 exons. The record is from RefSeq and is a predicted model, not a curated record.